AUGGAGCUGGAGAGGAUCAAGGAUGUCUGCAGGGCUCAGCCUGCUCCGUUUCUCCUAUUUUCCAUUUUUGCCAUGGGAUAUACACCUGGGAUAAAACCCCCGGAGGCUGUGCGAGGCCAGGACGCCCUGCAAAGCGGAGCAGCCUCCAGGCAUCACCCAAUUCCCUUCUGCAGCCCUGGAGAGGGGCUGGUGACAGGGACAGGACCUGGACCCGGCAUUUUCAGCCCGGAUGGCAGCAAAACCAGCACCCAGAUGGGACGGGGCGGAUGCGCCCUGCGGUUCCCAGCAGCGUCCACCCUGCAGCCCCUGCCUGCAGCGGGUGCCCCUCCUCACAGCCUGGCCGAAGGAAGCCCCCGCGCCCCCAGCUAUCAGCAGCUCGAGGUCUUCCCAAAAGAUGUUUCACAAACUCUCCAAGCCCUCCAAAACCACCCCAUGUCCCUUUCUUUAGCCAAUUUGUCUUUUUGGCCACCCUACAGCCACCAACCCCUCGGUCUUUGGGAAGCGCCAGGCUUUGAGCUCGCCUCUUUUAGCUCUGAACCCCAGCGAGAUGGAGAUCUCCGCUCUUCCUUUCUGUCCUCCUACAGCUGCAAUCCCUGCAGCUGCAGAGGAAAAGCUGGAAGCGGGACGGAGCAGGGAUGGAAAGCUCCGAGAGCAGCGCCCCGAGCCCGUGCUGGCCGCGAGGCUCUCCGGCGUGGUUCUGCCUCCUCUCCGUGCCAGCACUGCUGGUUUGUGGGCUGCCGGGAUUCACCUUGCUGCUGCAAAACCAGCCUAAAAAUAGUGCGGAGAGGAAGUGCUGGGGGAGUCCCGCAGAUUAAAAGAGAAAAAGAAACAGGCUUGGAGGCAGAAAGGAAGGCAGGCGGUGGCACGAAGCAGUGGGAGGCAGCGGUCAGGGCACGGCACGGUGCAGCCCGGCGGGGUUUGGCACCUCCUUGCUCCAGCCCAGCCCCGCAGCCUCUGUGCUUUGGGCAAAAAAAGGUCUGUUCCUGGAGCAGAGUGAACAAAUUUGCCCGGUGUCCCCUGCUGUGCUGA
RNAcentral lists this long non-coding RNA (1029 nucleotides) under Anas platyrhynchos platyrhynchos (common mallard). Its description in RNAcentral is "lncRNA (ENSAPLG00000023183.1)". The record is from RNAcentral. Lineage: Eukaryota; Metazoa; Chordata; Aves; Anseriformes; Anatidae.